UAAUGCUUUGGGCUUGGUUGGCUAGUGUUCUUCCUUCUUCCUUUCCUUCCUUCCUUUCUUUUUUCUUCCUUUCCUUUCUUUUCUUUUCUUUUCUCCUUCCUUUCUCCCUUUCUCUCUUUCUUUCUUUCUUUCUUUCUUUCUUUCUUUCUUUCUUUCUUUCUUUCUUUCUUUCUUUCUUUCUUUCUUUCUUUCUUUCUUUCUUUCUUUCUUUCUUUCUUUCUCUUUCCUUCUUUCUUUCUUUCUUUCCUUCCUUCUUUCUUCUUUCUUUGUUCUUUCUUUCUUUCUCUCUUCCCUUCUCUUUUCUCUCCUGUUUCUUUCCUUCUCUCUCUUUUUUGCUUCUUUCCUUCUUCUUUCCCUUUUCCCCUUCUUUCUUCCUUUCCCUUUACUUUCUGUCUUAGUACCAAUCUAAGACAAAAGAGCAGCAAAAAUCUAGGCAAUGGAGGUUAAGCAACUUUCCCAGGGUCACACAGCUAGAAAGUAUCUGAGGUCAAAUUUUAACUCAGGACUUCCUGACUCCAUGCCUGGCACCCUAUUCCCUCUGCUACCUAGCUACCCAGCCAGUGUUCCCUCCCUAAUGUUAAUGCCACACUGAAUGCCAAGACUGUAACUAGGCAAUCUUUAAUAUUGAGCAAGUUUAUUUGAGAGAAGAU
This 650-nucleotide long non-coding RNA is filed under the name Monodelphis domestica (gray short-tailed opossum). RNAcentral describes it as "lncRNA (ENSMODG00000045247.1)". Lineage: Eukaryota; Metazoa; Chordata; Mammalia; Didelphimorphia; Didelphidae. The record is from RNAcentral.